Molecule: ribosomal RNA, 767 nt
Filed under: uncultured Archaeospora
Lineage: Eukaryota; Fungi; Glomeromycota; Glomeromycetes; Archaeosporales; Archaeosporaceae
Description: SSU rRNA
Rfam family: Eukaryotic small subunit ribosomal RNA
Source: RNAcentral
UACCAUGGUAGUAACGGGUAACGGGGAAUUAGGGUUCGAUUCCGGAGAGGGAGCGUGAGAAACGGCUACCACAUCCAAGGAAGGCAGCAGGCGCGCAAAUUACCCAAUCCCGACACGGGGAGGUAGUGACAAUAAAUAACAAUACAGGGCUCUUUCAGGUCUUGUAAUUGGAAUGAGUACAAUUUAAAUCUCUUAACGAGGAACAAUUGGAGGGCAAGUCUGGUGCCAGCAGCCGCGGUAAUUCCAGCUCCAAUAGCGUAUAUUAAAGUUGUUGCAGUUAAAAAGCUCGUAGUUGAAUUUUAGACCUGGCCAGGCGGUCCGUCUUUGGCGAGUACCGUCUUGUUGUCGGGUCUUCCCUUCUGGUGAACCAGUAUGUCCUUUAUUGGGUGUGUUGGGGAGCCAGGACCAUUACCUUGAAAAAAUUAGAGUGUUUAAAGCGGGCAAUUGCUUGAAUAGAUUAGCAUGGAAUAAUAGAAUAGGACGUUGUGGUUCUAUUUUGUUGGUUUCUAGGACCACCGUAAUGAUUAAUAGGGAUAGUUGGGGGCAUUAGUAUUCAAUUGUCAGAGGUGAAAUUCUUGGAUUUAUUGAAGACUAACUAUUGCGAAAGCAUUUGCCAAGGAUGUUUUCAUUAAUCAAGAACGAAAGUUAGGGGAUCGAAGACGAUCAGAUACCGUCGUAGUCUUAACCAUAAACUAUGCCGACUAGGAAUCGGGCGUCGUUAAUUUUUUAAUGACUCGCUCGGCGCCUUAUGGGAAACCAAAGUGUUU